CAGAGCUACAAAGCUGCUUACAACCCAUAGCGAACAUACCUUCAUCGUUGCUUCGGCGGGUAGCUCGCCCCUCGGGGCCUCGGUGCCCUGGCCUCAGGCCGCCGCCCGCCGGAGGUACUAACUCUUGUAUAUCUGAGAAUCUCUGAGUAGUAGCAAGCAAUAAGUC
Molecule: unclassified non-coding RNA, 166 nt
Filed under: soil metagenome
Description: partial internal transcribed spacer 1
Source: RNAcentral